UAUCCCACCAAAUUAAAACCAUCCCGAUUAAAUUAACCCGCCCCAAAAUUAAACCCGGCCCACUUCCCUUUUAACCCAAAACCAGUCAGCCCAUUUUGUCUUCUUCACUGCUCCGGUGAGGAGCUUCUAGCUCCGGUGAACCGGAGCAACUAGCUACGCAACACUCGUUUUUGGUGUCGUGGAUGCUGUUCUUUUUAGACGUACAAUUGAAUCCAUGGCAUCAUCUUCUUCUUUUGCGAGUGAUUCACAGUACUGUCCUCGAUGGAAGUACGAUGUCUUUCUAAGUUUUAGAGGUGAAGAUACCCGUAAAACAUUUACGGGUCACUUGUACGAAGGUUUGAAAAACAGGGGAAUAUUCACCUUUCAAGAUGAUAAAAGGCUAGAGCAAGGCGAUUCCAUCUCAGAAGAACUCUUGAAAGCUAUCGAAGAGUCUCAAGUUGCACUUGUCGUUUUCUCGAGAAAUUAUGCUACAUCAAGAUGGUGCUUGAAUGAACUAGUUAAGAUCAUGGAAUGCAAGGAGAAAGAAAAUGGACAAACAGUCAUACCGAUCUUCUAUGAUGUGGAUCCAUCACAUGUUCGAUACCAAAGAGAGAGUUUUUCCGAAGCAUUUGUCAAGCAUGAAUCGAGGUAUAAGGAUGAUGUCGAGGGGAUGCGGAUGGUGCAAGCAUGGAGAACUGCCCUAACUGCUUCCGCAGAAAUAAUAGGAUAUGAUAUUCGUGACGAGAUUGAAUCAGAGAAAAUUCAACAGAUCGUCGAUCACAUCUCUUCUAAAUUUUGCAAGAGUGCUCAUUCUGUAUCUUUUUUGCAAGAUGUUGUGGGAAUAAGUGCUCAUUUAGAGAAACUAAAAUCCAAACUUCAAAUAGAAAUCAAUGAUGUUCGGAUUUUAGGGAUCUGGGGAAUAGGCGGAGUCGGUAAAACUACAAUAGCAAAAGCCAUCUUUGACAGUCUAUCUUAUCAAUUUAAAGCUGCUUGUUUUCUUGCAGAUAUUAAAGAAAAUGCAAGAAAGAAUCAACUGCAUUCUUUACAAAAUACCCUUCUCUCUGAACUUUUAAGGAAAAAAGAUGAUUACGUCAAUAAUAAGUAUGAGGGAAAGCGCAUGCUUCGGAGCAGACUUUGUUCUAUGAAGGUGCUGAUUGUGCUUGAUGACAUAGAUCAUGGUGAUCAUUUGGAGUACUUAGCAGGUGAUCUUUGUUGGUUUGGUAACGGCAGCAGAGUUAUUGUAACAACUAGAAAUAGACAUUUGAUUGAGAAGGAUGAUGCAAUAUAUGAAGUGCCUAUGCUACCUGAUCCUGAAGCUAUUCAAUUGUUCAAUCAACAUGCUUUCAAAAAAGAAAUUCCAGAUGAGCAUUUUAAGAAGUUCUCAUUGGAGGUAGUAAAUCACGCUAAAGGUCUUCCUUUAGCCCUCAAGGUUUGGGGUUCUUUAUUUCAUAAGAAAGGCCUAACUCAGUGGAGAGGAAUUGUAGACCAAAUAAAGAAAAACUCUAAUUCAGAAAUUGUUGAAAAGCUCAAAAUAAGUUAUGAUGGGUUGGAGGCCGAAGAGCAAAAGAUAUUUCUAGAUAUCGCAUGUUUCUUCCGCGGAGAUGAAAGAAAAGAAGUCAUGCAAAUCCUUGAAAGCUGUGAUUUUGGAGCUGAAUACGGAUUGGGUGUCUUAAUUGACAAAUCUCUUGUGUUCUUAGAUGAAUAUGAUAGGAUUGAAAUGCACGACUUAAUACAAGAAAUGGGUAAAUACAUAGUGGAAAUGCAAAAAGAUUCCGGAAAGCUUAGCAGAAUAUGGGACGUUAAAAAUUUCAAAGAUGUGAUGGUGGACAAUACGGGGACCAUGACAGUGGAAGCAAUCUGGGUUACUCUUUCUGAAAAACUAUACUUUAACAUGAAAAAUAUGCAAAGGCUUCGGAUAUUAUGCAUACAUGAUAGGAUCAAUUUUUUUGAGAUACUCAAUGGUCAUGAUGGUUCCAUUGUCAUUCCCAACAACUUGUGUUGUUUUUUCUGGCAUGGUUAUCCUUGCAAGUUAUUGCCAGAAAAUUUUAAUCUCAGAAGGCUUGUUCAUCUUGAUCUGCGAUGGAGUUCGUUGCAUCAAUUAUGGAAUGAAACAAAGCAGCAAUUGCCGUCUCUACGGAGGGUAGAUCUAAGUUGCUCCCACUGCCUGAAGAGGACACCCGAUUUCACGGGGAUGCCAAAUUUGGAGUAUUUGUAUCUAAAGUAUUGUAGUAGACUUGAAGAGGUUCACCAUUCCCUGGGAUGUUCCAGAAAACUUAUUGAGUUAAAUUUGAGUUCUUGUCGUAGACUCAAGAGGUUUCCAUAUGUUAAUGCAGAAUCUCUUGAAUCUCUGGUUCUAAGUGGUUGCUCUAGGUUAGAGAAAUUUCCAGAAAUUGUCGGAAUAAUGAAGCCGGAGUUAGAGAUUAUGAUGUCAUUUUCUGGGGUAAGGGAAUUGCCAUUAUCUAUCAAUCAUGCGCUAGCUCAUUUUACAAAGCUAGAUUUGAGUUUUAUGAGAAACCUUGUAGCUCUUCCAAGCAGCAUUUGUAAGUUGAAAGGUUUGGUGAAGCUAGAUGUGUCAUUUUGCUCAAAACUUAAAAGCUUGCCGGAAGAGAUAGGCGAUUUAGAAAAGUUGGAGGAGCUUAAUGCCAUACAUACUCCAAUCUCACGACCUCCGUCUUCCAUCGUCCGCUUGAACAAGCUUAAAUUGUUGACUUUUGAAAAAGAAAAAGCAGAAGAUAGAGCGGACUUUGUGUUCCCUCAGGUGAAUGAAGGGUUACACUCAUUGGAACUCCUGAAUCUCACUUACUGCAAUUUAAUAGAUGGAGGACUUCCAGAAGACAUUGGAUCCUUGUCCUCUUUGAAAUGGUUGAAUCUCGGUCUAAAUAAUUUUGAGCAUUUGCCUCGAAGCAUAGCCCAGCUUGGUGCUCUUCGAUCCUUGAACUUAUCAGAUUGCAAGAGGCUUACACAGCUGCCAGAAUUUCCACGGGAAUUAGGCACAAUAUAUGCAGAUUGGAGCAAUGAUUCUAUCUGUAAGUCGUUGUUUCAGAAUAUCUCAUCAUUGCAGCAUGACAUAUCUGCUUCAGAUUCCUUGUCACUAAGAGUGUUUAGGAGUAGGUGUUGUUAUAUCCCAAGUUGGUUCCACCAUCAGCGAAUAGGUACCAGUGUAUCAGUCAAAUUGCCUGAGAAUUGGUAUGUGUCGGAUAACUUCUUGGGAUUUGCUGUAUGUUUCAUUGGCAAAUUAAUUGACAUGAUCACAGCUCAUUUGAUUCCCUUAUGUGAUGAUGGGAUGUCGUCGAUGACCCAGGAAUUUUUCUUAUCCAACCAUUCAGAAUAUAUUUAUGAGGAUGAUACUAUUAAUUUUUUCUUGGUACCUCUUGCUGGCUUAUGGGAUGCAUCUAAUGCAAAUGGAAAAGAUCAAAAUGACUAUGGUAGGUUAGAAAUACAUGGUAUUUAUUCCCCUGGAGAAAUUAAAAAUUUUGGAGUUCGAUUGUUGUAUAAAGAUGAAGCUGAGUUUCACAUUGGGAAAAGGAGGAGCAGAUAUGAACAUCAUGACGAGGCCAAUUACUCCUCUUCUAAGAAACAAAAGUCACUCUUGCAGCUCUUUCCCACAACCCCGGGAUUUUAGAUUAAAUAUAGAUGACCCAAAAUACACAUUGCGGAUGAAUGGCAAGAUAACUUUGCCAAAAUAGGUGGAUGAAAGAAGCCUAGGAAUCCAAUGUAGCUCCAAUGCUCGAGCUGUUCUACUGAGCAAGCGGCAAGCGUAGUCUCCGUUGAUAUCUACUGUAAAAUGUUACAUGGUGGAUAUCAACGACGACUAAGUACUGAAAAUGGUCAAUCCAGCACGCGGAAAUAUCUCAUCAUUGCAGCAUGAAAUCUCUACUUCAAAUUCCUUCUCACCAAGAGUGUUUACAAUUGAGCAUGGUGAGAGCAAGAUCCCUAUUUGGUUCCACUAUCGGGGAACAGGUACAAGUGUAUCAGUCAAUUUGCCUGAAAAUUGGUAUGUAUGUGAUAACGUCUUGGGAUUUGCUUUAUGUUACUCUGGCAACUUAAUUGAUACCACAGCUCACUUGAUUCCCCUAUGUGAUGACGGGGUGUCGUGGAUGACCCAGAAACUCUCCUUAGCCAACCAUUCAGAAGAAUUUCCAGAAUCUGCUAUGCAUUUUUUCUUGGUACCUUUUAUUGGCUUGUGGGAUACAUCUAAGGCAAAUGGUAAAACACCAAAUGACUAUGGGCUUAGUAGGUUGUCUUUUUCUGGAAUAUGGAAGGAGCUUGGAUUUCGUUGGUUGUAUAAAGAUGAGCCAGGGUUUGAAGCAAGUUUGUCCUCUUGUAAUGAUGAACACCAUGACUCCGUGACCAGAAUCUGUCGAAUACUCUGAUAACAUUAGAAACAAAGGAGCUCGUUAAUGGGUGAUGUACAUAUCAACAAUGAGUUUUUUUCUCUGCUUGUGCUGAGCCAUGAUUAACCAUGGUCUUGAGAUAUGUUGGAGUCGUGAAUGUGUCACCAGAAAAAGGGUCGUCGAGCUGCAAAGAUAUAAUGUAUACCUUACAGAUAUAAAGAAUAACACUGAGCUGUCAUUGGCAAAGGGUCAUGACGUUUUCCAAUGACAGGAUAAUGGGUCACGACGUUUCAAUUUCAGGCAUAAUAUUGAGUGCUAGAUUUAAGGCACUAUAUCAUGAUUGGAAGUUGGGAUCGUUUUGGAUUAGGAGUUGCAUCAUAUCUUGGUGCCCCAUCUGUAUUCAUUUUACUCUGCAAGCCAUUAUUCUACUUUUUUUAGUACCAAGUUUUAGAUUUUGACUUUGUUGUAUGAUACUAUGAUUCAUGUGGAAAGAUUUAUCUCAUUUUUAACUUUAGCUAUUCCCCUGAUCAUGUCAUUCUGCAGAUGUAUACCCAACCGAUAUAAAGAUUUCACCGCGUUAUCAUUUGUAGGUGUUAUAAGUUCACAGAGAAAGCAAAGUGUUAUUCCCAAAGAUAGCAACUGAACUUACUAAUUCAUUUUGAUGCUCUCACUCUCUCUGAGUGUUAUAUUUGGGGAAAUGUCUGCUUUAAAUACAAAAACUUUAUGUGGGAUGGGUCAGUCUUAACACUUCUGCAUCAUACAUUUUCAUGUCGAAAAGUAUUGAUCAUGCUCUAACUUUAGCUAUACACUUUUUGCCGGGGGCAUUUUCAUAUUUUUACCAAGUAAAACACGGAGGUUCAAUCUGUAUUCAUUUACUGCAAGCCAGUAUUCUGCUUUUCUGAGUACCGAGUUUCAGAUUUUGACUUUUUUGUAUGAUUUUGAUUUUAAUGCUCUCUCAGAUUGUUUUAUUAGUAGAAAUUUCUGUUUAAAUGUAGAACUAGAGUCUUGGCCGUUCUCGUCAAAUCUACAUAUAUACUAAGUCUUAUUAGCAAAGGUGACACGACACUUCUCUUACACCAGAAUACCGCGUUUCAUU
Solanum dulcamara is the source of this 5409-nucleotide RNA transcript. It is a transcript of the gene named TMV resistance protein N-like, with no coding region annotated. The transcript is spliced from 10 exons. Lineage: Eukaryota; Viridiplantae; Streptophyta; Magnoliopsida; Solanales; Solanaceae. The record is from RefSeq and is a predicted model, not a curated record.